This 158-nucleotide ribosomal RNA is filed under the name Coprinus comatus. RNAcentral describes it as "5.8S ribosomal RNA". The stretch from base 1 to 134 matches the Rfam family "5.8S ribosomal RNA", at positions 21 to 154 of the family's 154-position model. From Rfam's summary of the family: 5.8S ribosomal RNA (5.8S rRNA) is a component of the large subunit of the eukaryotic ribosome. It is transcribed by RNA polymerase I as part of the 45S precursor that also contains 18S and 28S rRNA. Functionally, it is thought that 5.8S rRNA may be involved in ribosome translocation. The record is from RNAcentral. Lineage: Eukaryota; Fungi; Basidiomycota; Agaricomycetes; Agaricales; Agaricaceae.
UUGGCUCUCGCAUCGAUGAAGAACGCAGCGAAAUGCGAUAAGUAAUGUGAAUUGCAGAAUUCAGUGAAUCAUCGAAUCUUUGAACGCACCUUGCGCUCCUUGGUAUUCCGAGGAGCAUGCCUGUUUGAGUGUCAUUAAAUUCUCAACCCCUCCAGCUU